This 253-nucleotide ribosomal RNA is filed under the name uncultured bacterium. RNAcentral describes it as "partial 16S ribosomal RNA". It matches the Rfam family "Bacterial small subunit ribosomal RNA", at positions 524 to 776 of the family's 1533-position model. The record is from RNAcentral.
UACAGAGGGGGCAAGCGUUGUUCGGAAUUACUGGGCGUAAAGGGCGCGUAGGUGGCCUUCUAAGUUGAACGUGAAAUCCCUGGGCUCAACCCAGGAACUGCGUCCAAGACUGGGAGGCUUGAAUCCGGGAGAGGGAUGCGGAAUUCCAGGUGUAGCGGUGAAAUUCGUAGAUAUUCGGAGGAACACCAGUGGCGAAGGCGGCUCACUGGCUCGAUACUGACGCUGAGGUGCGAAAGCGUGGGGAGCAAACAGG